AGUGGCGGACGGGUGAGUAACGCGUGAGAAUCUGCCUUGGGGUCGGGGACAACCACUGGAAACGGUGGCUAAUACCGGAUAAGCCGAUUGGUGAAAGAUUUAUUGCCCGAAGAGGAGCUCGCGUCUGAUUAGCUAGUUGGUGAGGUAAGAGCUCACCAAGGCAGCGAUCAGUAGCUGGUCUGAGAGGACGAUCAGCCACACUGGGACUGAGACACGGCCCAGACUCCUACGGGAGGCAGCAGUGGGGAAUUUUCCGCAAUGGGCGAAAGCCUGACGGAGCAAGACCGCGUGAGGGAGGAAGGCUCUUGGGUUGUAAACCUCUUUUCUCAGGGAAGAAGCUCUGACGGUACCUGAGGAAUCAGCCUCGGCUAACUCCGUGCCAGCAGCCGCGGUAAUACGGAGGAGGCAAGCGUUAUCCGGAAUUAUUGGGCGUAAAGCGUCCGCAGGUGGCGAUUCAAGUCUGCUGUCAAAGCACGGGGCUUAACUCCGUAAAGGCAGUGGAAACUGAAUAGCUAGAGUGCCGUAGGGGUAGAGGGAAUUCCCCGUGUAGCGGUGAAAUGCGUAGAGAUCGGGAAGAACAUCGGUGGCGAAAGCGCUCUACUGGACGGCAACUGACACUCAGGGACGAAAGCUAGGGGAGCGAAUGGGAUUAGAUACCCC
This 660-nucleotide ribosomal RNA is filed under the name uncultured bacterium. RNAcentral's name for it is "bacterial SSU rRNA". It matches the Rfam family "Bacterial small subunit ribosomal RNA", at positions 94 to 788 of the family's 1533-position model. The record is from RNAcentral.